UACAGAGGUCUCAAGCGUUGUUCGGAUUCAUUGGGCGUAAAGGGUGCGUAGGUGGCGCCGUAAGUCGGGUGUGAAAUUUCGGAGCUUAACUCCGAAACUGCAUUGGAUACUGCGGUGCUUGAGGACUGGAGAGGAGACUGGAAUUCAUGGUGUAGCAGUGAAAUGCGUAGAGAUCGGGAGGAACACCAGUGGCGAAGGCGGCUUGCUGGGCCGGACCUGACGCUGAGGCGCGAAGGCGUGGGGAGCGAACGGG
This 253-nucleotide ribosomal RNA is filed under the name uncultured bacterium. RNAcentral describes it as "partial 16S ribosomal RNA". It matches the Rfam family "Bacterial small subunit ribosomal RNA", at positions 524 to 776 of the family's 1533-position model. The record is from RNAcentral.